This 243-nucleotide ribosomal RNA is filed under the name uncultured bacterium. Its description in RNAcentral is "partial 16S ribosomal RNA". It matches the Rfam family "Bacterial small subunit ribosomal RNA", at positions 532 to 775 of the family's 1533-position model. The record is from RNAcentral.
UGGCGAGCGUUGUCCGGAAUUAUUGGGCGUACAGAGCAUGUAGGCGGUUUUUUAAGUCUGGAGUGAAAAUGCGGGGCUCAACCCCGUAUGGCUCUGGAUACUGGAAGACUUGAGUGCAGGAGAGGAAAGGGGAAUUCCCAGUGUAGCGGUGAAAUGCGUAGAUAUUGGGAGGAACACCAGUGGCGAAGGCGCCUUUCUGGACUGUGUCUGACGCUGAGAUGCGAAAGCCAGGGUAGCGAACGG